UUGGGGGGUCACGUGACCCCUCAGAAAAAUUUUUCCGCUAGAUUUAGCGGGGAAAAUUUUCCGCUAGAUUUAGCGGGGAAAAUUUUCCGCUAGAUUUAGCGGGGAAAUUUUUCCGCUAGAGGAAUUUUUUCCGCUAGAUUUAGCGUGGAAUUUUUUCAGCUAAAUCUAGCGGGGAAAAUUUUCCGCUAGAUUUAGCGGGGAAAUUUUUCCGCUAGAUUUAGCGGGGAAAUUUUUCCGCUAAAUUUAGCGGGGAAUUUUUU
Molecule: non-coding RNA, 260 nt
Filed under: Ixodes scapularis (black-legged tick)
Lineage: Eukaryota; Metazoa; Arthropoda; Arachnida; Ixodida; Ixodidae
Source: RNAcentral